AAACACACUGUAACACCGAGUUAGACACCCCCUCCAGAGAUGAAUGUUGCCAACCGCUUGCUUCUCUAGUUAUACCAACUUUAGUAACACAGCGGUCUGAGGAGCCGUAAACAAACCUAAAUCAAAACGCCACUCCAUAGCCACAAAUAAUGCUCAGAACAGCACCUAACUUCAUCAACAGUACAUAUAGGGUCCCAGCCAUAGGACAAGCCACUAAACAUCUUUUUAACUUUGACUAAUUUCUUUAGCAAAGAGACUAAACACAACUCACCUACUCUCUUUAAGCAGCCGCUUGUUUGUACGGAGACCUCAGGCCAGUUCAUGAUGGACUACAGCUGGGUGACGCAGCUCAAGGAAGAACAUUUACGAUCAUUUCUUCAUGGAAAUGCAAUCAGGGUCCAGAAUGGCAGGCGGAUCAGAUCCGUGAGCCCACAGCAUCCACUGGAUCCAAUCCACCGUGGCCAUCGGAGGAGAAGCUUUCUCAUGAGCUCUCGCGUGUUUCCCCGGGAGUCAUAUAAUGAGAUCUGCCAAUCAGUGUUUAUAAACGGCACAUCCCAAAACCCUGGCCUCUCCUUUUAUCAAGUUAAUAACAGUUCAACUUAUUUACUUUCUUUUAUUUUGAAAUUAACCUGAUAUUUUACUCUGUAACUGCAUACAACUUCCACUGCUGCUCGUGCUGCACUGAAUUGAUGCGCCAUGCUCCGGCAUCCAGCAAAAAUAGAAGCUUUGCGUAUCUGAUCUGCAGCGGAGCCAAACGCCAGACGGAUUCUGUGGAAUAACACACAUUGAUUACAAUGCUCGUGGAUUUGAUCCGCCGGCCAUGCCGGAGCGGAGCGGAGCCGUUCUGGACCAUGUGGGUCUUGCCCGUAAGGCAGAAGAACUACUGCGUCUGCAGUGCAAAAUGAUAAAUAUGGUGAUUAUUACUUCAAGGAAAUGAUAAAGAAAUUAGUCAAAGUUAAAAAGAUGUUUGGUGGCUAGUACUAUGGCUGGGACCCUAUAUGUACUGUUGAUAAAGUUAGGUGCUGUUCUGAGCAUUAUUUGUGGCUAUAGAGUGGCGUUUUGGUUGAGUGCGUGGCUAUCUGUAUUGCUAUCCUGCGUAGGGUGACCAGAUUUCUGUAAUGGAAUCCGGGGAUCCUAAAUUAAUUUUACGCCAGAAUAUCCCUUUAAGUUGACUUCAGAUAAAUGCAUGAACCUGUUUUCUCCGGUGUCAUCUUAAAGGUUUAGGUCUGAGUUUACAAUGACAUUGUCAGUGGUUUUAUGGUUAAAUCAGUGGCUGUGGGAAAUUGGGCUGCAGCUUCCCCUGUUGGAAGAGGCAGAUAUAAAAUUAAUAAAUAAAAUAAACACAUUAAAAGGUUUUUAUUAUUUGCACACUAACCUGUUCAGGAACGUGUUGUCUAUUUGUAGCCUAAUUGUCUGCUGUGCGGUAAAACUGGCGCACUUCAUAAUUUGCUGACAUUAAAACCCCAAUACCCAGGCCCUGUGUGUGUGUGUGUGUGUGUGUGUGUGUGUGUGUGUGUGUGUGUGUGUGUGUGUGUGUGUGUGUGUGUGUGUGUGCGCGCGCAUGUGUGUGUGUUUGUGUGUGUGUGCUGUAAAAUGAAGUGCACUGGGGUAAUUUCAGUUCACUUUUGGACCUGCUCCAUCUGUUUGGUUUGUAAGCCUCUGCCUAAAAGGGUGUGGUUGUUGCAAACAGGAUAUUUCAUACGUGUCACAUUACAUAAGGCUGGGGAGUUACAAACAUAGCGUUUGUUUUAAAGCUUGAUAAAUAAAAAAGUGUGUGCAUCAUCAUCAUCAUAACCUAUCAGCCAAAACAUGCACAUCAAACUCAAAGCCUCUUUUUCUGAUUGCGACAGCUGAACUGUUUUUCUGAGGGUGUUAAAAAUAAAAAACUUUGACUGCAUCGGUUAUGUGCAAAGAAAACAAGCCCAAAUACUCCUGAUUUUAUACCCAAAUGCACAGAAAGCCAGUAGAGGAGCACUGACUGCCAGUGGUGAAUAUGAGUGACAGAAAUUACUGGCAGAAAAACACCCCGUUCACACGUUUUAGUGUCCUGAAAAAUAUUUUUCCUCACUAUGUAUGAAAACCAGUAAAAAACCCAAUCUGAGCAGAUAAAGCUGAUAGAAAGUGAGAGGUUGUAAAAGCUCAUCUCUCUGUUUUUAAGACAUGAAAUAAAACCAGCAUGAACAAAAAAGCAGAGAUGGGAUCUGAGAGGAUGUUUCCUCUCUCUUUUGUCUGAGACAAACCUCAUUCAGGCCUCAGUGAAAGGUUUAUCAAAGAGGGUCAGAGAGUCGGAAUAACCUCAUAAUUUCACUGGAAUAAAUCAACAGAAUGAUUUCAGAAAGUUAAUUAAGUCCGCGUCUGGUUCCCAGCUGUCUUUUGUAAAUGUGGUUAUGCAGGAAUUGUCAUUCAGUUUGCAUAAAUGAACAAACUCUUUCACUGAAGAGACCUUUUAACACCGAGAGCUGACCUAAGGCUCAAACUCAGGUUUCUACAGGUGAGGCUUUUGUUUCCUCCUCCUGAUGGAAGUUCAGAGCCGCGUUGGAGAAAAGAUUCACUCAAAGAAACGUGUUUUUCUUUCCCCUCUGGCGUUAAUCAUGAAAAAUUACUCGUUUAGCUCUAAAGGGCGUCUUUGCCUUUUUUCUCUCCCUGCGUAUGUGUUUUUGGCUUUAUUCCACUUUCCUCAGUCCUCAUUCAUCAUCCUUAUCGUCAGCUCUGCACCUUUUGUUCUUAUAAGACACAGUUUAUAUGUUUUUGUUCGGAAGGCUGACAACUGUUAAAGGAAAGGUUUGAGGACCAGCACAUAGUCAGAGCCUGUCUGUUUAUCACUGCAAAUAUAAAACCAUUAAUCAAGUAAUGAGUGGGUCAAUGUGUCGGUCAUGCUGCUGUUAAAGUUGAACAAUAUUUACAGGUUUAGGCGCUUCAGGACUCUGUAGUUGGAGUCACCACAUGGGCUUAAAGGGGUAUUCUGCCAUAUGGUGAAACACACCUUAACACAGAGUUAGACUCCCCCUCCAGAGAUGAAUGUUGCCGACCGCUUGCUUCUCAAGAUAUACAAACUUUAGUAAAGACCACAGGAUAGCAAUACAGAGAGCCACGCGCCCAACCAAAACGCCACUCUAUAGCCACAAAUAUUGCUCAGAGCAGCACCUAACUUCAUCAACAGGACAUAUAGGGUCCCAGCCAUAGCACUAGCCAUCAAACAUCUUUUUAACUUUGACUAAUUUCUUUAGCAAAGAGACUAAACACAACUCACCUACUCUCUUCCAGCAGCCACUUGUUUUUAGCAAGACCUCAGGCCAGUCCAUUACGGACUACAGCGGGGUGACGCAGCUCAAGGAAGAACAUUUAUGAUCAUUUCUUCAUGGAAAUGCAAUCAGACCAAGACGCUAAGACAGAAGAACCACCGCAUCUGCCGUGCAAAAUGAUUAAUAUUGUGAUUAUUACUUCAAGGAAAUGAUAAAGAAAUGAUCAUAAAUGUUCUUCCUCAAAACUAAAGAUAAGGAAACACCGGAGGGUUAGGUUAAAAUAAAUAAAAUGAAAUAAAAACAACAGUAAAAGAUACUAAAAUAAGAGCACCAAAAUAGCACAAUAAAAAACGAUCCUGUUUUUAAAAAUAGAAAGAGAUAAAUGCUAAACACUAUGAUAAUAAUGAGAUAAAAAUCUUAGAUGGUAACAGCCCAACCAAGUAAGCUUGUUAAAAGAGAAAAAGAUCACAUGGGAAAAGUGAGACGACUUGGACCAAAACCGUGUUAAAUUCCACUUUAAAGAUCAGCAUUUUUAAUGGUUGUUAUGGGACUCCUUGGCUUUUGGUGCCAGCCUCUUGUGGACACUUGAGGAACUGCAGUUUUUUAUUACCUUUACUUUGUCAGGACCUGAGACCUACAGUAGAAGAAACUGAUCUAAAGUCCUCUUUCUUGAUCAUGAAAGUACUCUCACCUUUAGAUGACAGUUUGAACUUUCAGAUGUUUUUCCAGUGUUUCUUUCAAAUGUUCAUGCUGCGCCCCGUUAGUGAAGCUGCUCUCAGUUUUAAUGGCUCUAAACUGUGGAUCACCCUCCCUUUGGAUCUCAGAAAAGAAAACAACCUUUAAAUUUUUUUAAAAAGAAAUUCAAGACCCAGAUUCAGACACCGCUGAGGCAGACAGAGCCGUUAUCGGGAAGUAGAUGAAAAAUGGCAACACAUCCAUUCAGGUUAUCUUAAUUAGUCUCACUAGACAUCCCAACUGG
Xyrichtys novacula (pearly razorfish) is the source of this 4221-nucleotide non-coding RNA. The record is from the annotation of a GenBank genome assembly. Lineage: Eukaryota; Metazoa; Chordata; Actinopteri; Labriformes; Labridae.